AGCUUGACUGCGAGACCUACAAGUCGAGCAGGGACGAAAGUCGGGCUUAGUGAUCCGGUGGUUCCGCAUGGAAGGGCCAUCGCUCAACGGAUAAAAGCUACCCCGGGGAUAACAGGCUUAUCUCCCCAAGAGUCCACAUCGACGGGGAGGUUUGGCACCUCGAUGUCGGCUCAUCGCAUCCUGGGGCUGUAGUCGGUCCCAAGGGUUGGGCUGUUCGCCCAUUAAAGCGGUA
This 232-nucleotide ribosomal RNA is filed under the name Bacillus licheniformis. RNAcentral describes it as "partial 23S ribosomal RNA". It matches the Rfam family "Bacterial large subunit ribosomal RNA", at positions 2366 to 2598 of the family's 2925-position model. Lineage: Bacteria; Bacillati; Bacillota; Bacilli; Caryophanales; Bacillaceae. The record is from RNAcentral.